Molecule: long non-coding RNA, 1168 nt
Filed under: Heterocephalus glaber (naked mole-rat)
Lineage: Eukaryota; Metazoa; Chordata; Mammalia; Rodentia; Bathyergidae
Description: lncRNA (ENSHGLG00000038044.1)
Source: RNAcentral
GGCAGCCGUCUGCACCUUGCUCAUGAGUGACAGCGAUGCAGGUGCCCAUGUUUCUCGGGACGCACAGCGCUGUACAAUGACAAGGCUGUGGACAUGUGCCGGAUGGGGGCACAGUGCCGUGUCCACUCCCUCUCACCUGCUGCUGCCCUGCUGUCUUGGGCAUCCUGAUCGCUGGCUUUGUUCCGUUGUUUCCUCCUCACAGCAUUGCCUAAAAAUACUCUUUAAAAGGAAAGCUUGUUGAGAUGUGAUGAGCCCAGAUCAAAGAACUAUUAAAAGUAAGCUGUCCACAGAGCGCGCCAUCACUCUGAACAUUUUUCAUGUUUCCUACAAGCUAAGACUCCCUCCCACCAACUCAACCAUCAGAAUCAGGAAAUCAACAGGGAUAAAUUGCUACCCAUCAUCCUCAGGCACUGUGACAGUUUCGUCCACAGUCUCAGUAUCUCCUUCAUAGUGAAAGAACUCAGCACAACAGCACACACUGGGUUUAGUCACCAGGACUCUUAGGCCUCCUUCAGUCUGGAACAGGCCCCGGCUUCCCUGAAUUUCCAUGAUUUUGAUACUUCUGUUUGUUUUCUGAGACAGGGUCUGGCUAGGUAGCCCAGGCUGCCCUCGAACUUGCGAUGAUCCUCCUGCCUCAGCCUCCUGAGUGCUGGGAUCACAGGUGUGCCCACUAUGCCUAGCUGACUGAUAUUUUUAGAGGAGAAGCCGUCACUUUGUAGACUGCCCCUCCAUUUAGCUUUGUCUACUUCCUUCUAAUUCGAUUCACGCUGUGCCUCUUUGCCGGGAAUAUGACGCAAGUCUGUGAUCUCGUUGGCCUCUGCCGAGGCUGACAGUUCAGGCUGUCGCACCGUGAAGGCCGCCUUGCUCGCCUGGUUGGGUAGAUCCGGUAAGCUUUUGUGCUGCGCAGUUCCUUAUUCCCCCUUUGUAACCGCUAAGUAUUUUGUGGGUAUCUUAUUUGACACUAUUUAAAUGUCUGCUUCCUCUCGACUGCUCAAGGUACGCAUUGUUUCAGCACUUAUGUCAGUGCGGCCUCCUGCUCUCCCUGGUGCGUUGCGGUCCCUGUACCACCGCUCUGGUGAGGGGCCCCAGCUCUGGCCCAGGCGCCCUCUCCAGCGGCUCCAGCCUUCUCCGGUGUCCUCUGCCUCCUGGCGCCUUCGCGUCCGGCACG